Molecule: transfer RNA, 71 nt
Filed under: Ovis aries (sheep)
Lineage: Eukaryota; Metazoa; Chordata; Mammalia; Artiodactyla; Bovidae
Rfam family: tRNA
About the family: Transfer RNA (tRNA) molecules are approximately 80 nucleotides in length. Their secondary structure includes four short double-helical elements and three loops (D, anti-codon, and T loops).
Source: Rfam by way of RNAcentral
UCCCUGGUAGUCUAGUGGUUAGAUUCUGGGCUUUCACCGCUGUGGCCAGGGUUCAAUCCCUGGUCAGAGAA